UCAAGUUAUUAAGGGUGCAGGGCGAAUGCCUUGGCACUAGGAGCCGAUGAAGGACGUGAUAAGCUGCGAUAAGCUUCGGGGAGUUGCACGUAAACUUUGAUCCGAAGAUUUCCGAAUGAGGAAACUCACUUAGAGUAAUGUCUAAGUAUCGUAUGAUGAAUACAUAGUCAUGCGAGGGGAACCCGGAGAACUGAAACAUCUAAGUACCCGGAGGAAGAGAAAGAAAUUCGAUUCCGUAAGUAGCGGCGAGCGAACGCGGAACAGGCCAAACCAGUGAAGUUUUCUUCGCUGGGGUUGCGGACAUAUCAUAACGAAGAGGUAUCGUAGAAGAAGAGAGUUGGAAAGCUCCGCCACAGAUGGUAACAGCCCAGUAUUUUAAACGAGAAGACUUUAGAUAUGAUCCAGAGUACCACGGGACACGUGAAACCCUGUGGGAAGCAGGAGGGACCAUCCUCCAAGCCUAAAUACUACCUAGUGACCGAUAGCGUAUAGUACCGUGAGGGAAAGGUGAAAAGAACCCCGGGAGGGGAGUGAAAGAGAACCUGAAACCCUGCACUUACAAGCUGUAGGAGCACAUUAUUUGUGUGACUGCGUACUUUUUGUAGAACGGGCCAACGAGUUACGUUGUGUAGCAAGGUUAAGCACUUAAGGUGUGGAGCCGUAGCGAAAGCGAGUCUUAAAUGGGCGUCCAGUUACCCGACGUAGACCCGAAACCAGGCGACCUAUCCAUGAGCAGGUUGAAGCGAAAGUAAAAUUUCGUGGAGGACCGAACCCACGUACGUUGAAAAGUGCGGGGAUGACUUGUGGAUAGCGGUGAAAUUCCAAUCGAGCCUGGAGAUAGCUGGUUCUCCCCGAAAUAGCUUUAGGGCUAGCCUCAAGCUUAGAGAAACGGAGGUAGAGCACUGAAUGUCCUAGGGGGUAUUGCACUUACCGAAGACUAUCAAACUCCGAAUGCCGUAUUCUUUUGCUUGGGAGUCAGACUAUGGGUGAUAAGAUUCAUAGUCAAGAGGGCAACAGCCCAGAUCGUCAGCUAAGGUCCCUAAAUGUAAGUUAAGUGGUAAAGGAUGUGGAAUUGCACAGACAACCAGGAUGUUGGCUUAGAAGCAGCCACUCAUUUAAAGAGUGCGUAAUAGCUCACUGGUCGAGUGAUUCUGCGCCGAAAAUUUCCGGGGCUAAAACUUACUACCGAAGCUACGGCAUCAUUAUGAUGGGUAGGGGAGCUUUCUAUGUGGCUUGAAGCAUGACCGUAAGGACAUGUGGACUGCAUAGAAGUGAGAAUGUUGGCAUGAGUAGCGAGAUGUGGGUGAGAAUCCCACAGGCCGUAAACCCAAGGUUUCCAGGGGAAGGUUCGUCCGCCCUGGGUUAGUCAGGACCUAAGCCGAGGCCGAAAGGCGUAGGUGAUGGACAACAGGUUGAUAUUCCUGUACCACCAAUAACCGUUUGAGAAAUGGGAUGACACAGUAGGAUAAGCUAACCGCACUGUUGGUUAUGUGCGGGCAAGUAUUGAGGCAGUUCCGAUAGGCAAAUCCGUCGGAAUAAUGCUGGGGUACGAUGCGGAGCGAAAUUUAGUAGCGAAGUAGCUGAUUUCACACUGUCGAGAAAAGUCUCUAUCGAGGUUAAAGGUGCCUGUACCGCAAACCGACACAGGUGGGUGAGGAGAGUAUCCUAAGGCCAGCGAGAGAACUGUUGUUAAGGAACUCGGCAAAAUGACCCCGUAACUUAGGGAGAAGGGGUGCCUUCGAAAGAAGGCCGCAGAGAAUAGGCCCAAGCGACUGUUUACCAAAAACAUAGGUUUCUGCUAAGUCGCAAGACGAUGUAUAGGAGCUGACGCCUGCCCGGUGCUGGAAGGUUAAGGGGAUCUGUUAGAGCAAUCGAAGCAGUGAACUUAAGCCCCAGUAAACGGCGGCCGUAACUAUAACGGUCCUAAGGUAGCGAAAUUCCUUGUCGGGUAAGUUCCGACCC
Molecule: ribosomal RNA, 1962 nt
Filed under: human gut metagenome
Description: bacterial LSU rRNA
Rfam family: Bacterial large subunit ribosomal RNA
Source: RNAcentral